CAGCAGAAUCAAUAUGAUUUUUUUUACUGAAAGAACGGAUUACCGUAUAAAUAGCUUAAGUGAAAGGUUUAAUACGAGUCAUUGCGAAUUAAGCUCGUUACGGUUAAGAUGACGAAAUUUUGCUUACUUUUAUUAUGGGCUGUACUCAGCUUUGCAGUUAUACAAGUUGCAGCAAAAAUUGUAGGAUGCAGGUACAAGACUUUAUCUCUGCGGCGCGGGCAACAAUAUUGUCGCCGAAUCUGUGUGAAAGAGGGUGUGCGAAGUCAGUGCAGAAAAGUUAACUUAUCCUCUCGGGUUAGCGUAUGCCCAGUGGGUUGCUGUCAACUUGGCGAUAGUUGUGUGUCGAUCAGACAAAGAAAGCUUUAAGAGAAUACGCCAUUCUUUAAAUUUUCUUACACAAAUAAUAAAUAUUUUUUGCAAGCUUAUUUGUAGUAUCUCUAAAAGAUGGAAACAUAAUAAAAUAUGUAUAAACUGUUUAACAGCAAGAAUAAAUUUGUAAUGUAAUUUAACUGUGUAUUCUUAAAAUAUGUUUAAAUAUACUCAUAAAAACUGAAACAGAUUAUUGCAUAAAUAGCUCAAGCGAAAGGCUUAACAGAUUCAUCACGAAUUAUCCUCGUUACUGUUAAGAUGUCGAAAUUUUGUCUACUUUUUUUAUUGAGCACACUCAGCUUGGCAGUUAUACAAGCGCAAAGUGUGGGAUGCAGGCCAAACAACUUAGCUCUGCGAGCUGGACAGCGAGUUUGUCACCGAAUUUGUGUUAAAGAUAGUGUACAGAAUCGGUGCGAAAUAGUCAAAAAAUAUACACAAAUGAGAGUAUGCCCACUGAGUUGCUGUCAACUUGGCAAUAAGUGUGUGUCGCUCAGAAGUCGAAAGUUUUGAGGAGGAUAAAUAAUUUUUUUAGUGUACUAUGAUAUGUAACUACAUGUACGGGUACUAAAAUAAAUAAAACGCUGAAAUUUUU
Molecule: long non-coding RNA, 961 nt
Organism: Bactrocera latifrons
Lineage: Eukaryota; Metazoa; Arthropoda; Insecta; Diptera; Tephritidae
Exons: 3
Source: RefSeq, a predicted model, not a curated record